AUUCUGUUUAAACUCUACGUCUUCUAACCUUACAAGUUCUCCUUCAUAGUCUGCCCAUCCGUCCUUGAUGAUUUGCCUCCUCUGGUUGCGGUUGCGUCAUUUUCUUACCUGCUUAGAUUCUUAAACGAUAUAGUCAGGGUCAAUAAAAUAACGGCGUACCUUCUUUGAGGGGAAGUGCAUAUGGACUUCUCCGGUUCCAAUGUAGAUAAUUGCUUUAACGGUGCUGAGGAACGGUCUUCCAAGGAUGAUGGGUGGAUCGUACUCGUCUUCUCCCAUGUCAAUAACCUGAAAGUCUGUGUAGACAAAGUGAUCGUCUAUUUUGAUUGGGACAUCAGUUACUGUUCCUUUAACUUCUCGAAAUGUCUGAUCUGCCAUCUAGAGCUGAAUGUAUGUUGGUCUUAGGGGCAUGGUUCCGAACAAGUGCUGAUAUGUGACUGCGGCCAUUAUGUUGAUGCUCGAUCCGGUGUCACAAGUCGUCUUGUAGAAGUUGUAUCCAUUUAUUGAGCAGUAGAUGCUUGGCAUUCCUGGGUCGUCCUUCUUGGUAAAAAACGGUGACUUAAGUUGGUGGUCUUGGCCUCCAUGAACUGCAGUGACCAUCUUAGCUGACUCGGUCCACACUUGCUUGUUCCUGUUCCUCCUGUUGGUCCUCUUCCUUGAUUCACGUCUGGAUUGAUCUGGGAUUUGUGUAGUCUUGUUCUUGAAGAAAAACGUCUCCUUCUUCCCUUUGAUGUAGAAACUGAUCUUGGCAGCACUGGCGUAGAUGACAGCUCCCGCGGUGUUUAAGAAUGGCCUCCCUAAUAUGAUAGGUGCCCUCUCCUCAUUACCGGUCUCUACCACUACAAAGUCUGCUGGGGCAUAUAAGGUACCA
This 868-nucleotide long non-coding RNA is filed under the name Sorghum bicolor (sorghum). RNAcentral describes it as "long non-coding RNA (SBIC_LNC006603)". The record is from RNAcentral. Lineage: Eukaryota; Viridiplantae; Streptophyta; Magnoliopsida; Poales; Poaceae.